This 11295-nucleotide long non-coding RNA is filed under the name Homo sapiens (human). Its description in RNAcentral is "HSALNT0054862". Lineage: Eukaryota; Metazoa; Chordata; Mammalia; Primates; Hominidae. The record is from RNAcentral.
AUAAAUAUUUAUUUAUCAAAUACCAUAGAACAACAACAUAAAAACUAGAGAAAUAGAAACACUAUUACUGGGAAAGAUGAACUCACCAUGGUAGACCCAGUGGACAAAAAAAUAUAAGAAUAUAGAAGUUCUAAAUAACACUAUUAAUGAGGUAGAUCUGAUUGAUAUAUUUUUAAUACUCUGCCCCCAAAAUAGAGAAAAUUUAUUCUUUUCAAAUGCUUGUGUAACACUCACAGAAACUGACUAUAAAGAAAACUUCAAUAAAGUUCCAAAAAUGAACACUAUAGACAAUAUUUUCUGAUCAUAAUGCAAAACAGAAAUUGCAAGAUUCCUAGGGAAUAAAAAUAUUUUAAGUACUAAAUAAAAGGUUAUGGGGAUGUAGCUAAGGCAGUACUCAGAGGAAAAUUCAUAUCUUUAAAUGUUUAUAGCAAUAAAAAUGAUAAAAGACAACCAAUGAAUAGACAUUUGACCCUGAAAUUUAGAAAAAUGGCAAUAUAGGAAAGCUCAGUGAAGGAGUAGGUGAAGUUAAAGGCAGAAACUAAUGAUUAGAAACAUUAUAAAAAAUUAUAAAGGAAGCACACAUACGCCUACACACAAAACAAAAAACUAUAGACCCAUCUCACUUAUGGUGCUGCAAAUCCCCAAAUUAUAUAUUAACAAAUAGAAUCUAGCAACAUAUUGAAAGAAUAACUUAUCAUGACCAAGUAAGAUUGAUUCAAAAAUUCAAGAAUGGUUCAAUAGUAGGAAAUCUUUUAAUAUAAUUUAUCCUGAAAUAUUAUUAAUAAUUAACUAAGAAAACUAAUAAGAUUAUCUCCAUAAAUGCUGAAGAGACAGUUGUCAAAAUUCAGCAACUAUUCUUUUUAAAUUUUUGUUAUUGUUUGGUUUUUGCUUUUGCAAGUUUAUAUUUUUGCAUAUAUAUUUAUAAAUAUAUAUACAUACACUGAGUUAUGUGAUGAUUACAACCUAGAAUACACAACACGACCGAAAUUAUACAUUGAAAUUGCAUAUCUAUAAUUCAUAUGAUGAUGCACAUUAAUCUUAAAUGGCACACUGAAUGACAACAUUUAUCACAUCUUCUUUAUUAACCACCACGAUUUUCUCGUUAUAUCUUAAUAGACUAUAAUACAUUUAAAUUAAACAAUGCGACUUAUUAUGUUAUGAAAAUAAACAGUAUGAUGUUUAAAUUUUAAAAUAAUAAUUAUUAUAAUAAAACGGAAAGGUCUUACGAGCCUAAGUGGACGGGCAGUUAAAGAUUAAAUAAGCUUCAACAAAUGUAAAAUCAUAGUUAUAAGGAAAGUAAUCUAUAUUACCUUCCCAAGGCAUAACUCUCAAUUAUGAUUUGUGACCCAGCAAGGAGAUCUUGGAUUCUCAUUAGUCCCUUAAAGUGUGUCAUAUUCCCUUCAACCAGGGAGCAACUAUUCUUGAUUCAAAAAAAUACAUGAUCAUAUAGGAUUCAAAAAAAUACUUCCUUAACAUAAUAGCAUGAAUGUAUCUCAGCUUGAAAUGCUUAAUGAGGAAACCCCAGAAGCAUUCUGAUCAAAACUAGUGCAAGAUAAGGAUGCCAACUAGCUCUUCAUCAUUUAACAUAAAAUAACAUGCUUACUUGAUGUACCUACUUAAUGUACUAGUCAAUGUAAUUUGAUAGCAGGAAAAAAUAAAGAAAACUAAAGUCAUAAAAUUGGAAAGAGGAGAUAAAACUAUCAUUAUUUGAAGAUGGUCUAACUGUGUACCUAGAAAAUCAAAAUGAAUCAACUGAAAAACCAGUGUGAGAAUUUUAAAAAAUACCGUGGUGCUAACUGAAUAUGUAGAAGUUAAUAGCUUUCAUGUAUACAUAUAUAUACCACAACUAGUUAGAAGAUGUAAUGGAAAAAAAUACCUUAUAUACUGUACUAGUAACAAGAAAGACAAAAUGCCUAGAGGCAAACUUAAAAGAAAUGUGUAAGAAAAAUUUUAAACACCUUUAAAAGACAGAAAAGAUGCCCUGAAUGAAAGAUAUCAUUAUCUUAGAUAAUAUAUAUAUAAUAUCAGUGAUCUCCAAAUUAAUUUAAACAUUUAAUAUGGUUUAAUAAAAAUUAUCAAUAACUGUGCUUUAGAACACACGACUCUAAAGUUCACAUGGAAAAAACAACUAACAUACUUGGGGAAAUCCUGAAAAAGAAAUAUAACAGUGGAAGACUAAGCCUACUAUAGGUUCCCCAGUGAACCCCACGCAACUCCCCACAGCACACAUUCACUUUCCUUCUGUGUCCUGAUCUAGAAACAGAGUGCCUUGACCACUCUGUGACCUAGCCAGCUGCAUGUUCCCUGCAGGCUUGAGCCCAACCAGGUGCCUUGAACAUUCUCAGGCACUGAUAAAGCUGCUUAGGUUGUUGCUCAAAAACAUUGAGAAUGUAACUCUUUUGCUAAACAUGUAGAAAUUAGCCUCAGUCCUGAACCAAAUUCCUUAAACGCUCAUAUAAAACCCCAAACCUGACCCCCUCAAGGCAUAUGUACCUAGGUAGAACAUCCCUUGUCUCACUGUCUGACUCGAGGAUUUGCAGCAGACUCCUCUAUAUGGAAGCUCCCCUAAUGAACGCUCUACACUGAUCAUCCUAGUAUUCCGUCCUUCUUUCUUUGAAAUCCCAACUGGCCCCAUCUCAGGCAGUCCCUUGUAGAAAUUCCCCUGCUACAGCUUUUAGGGUGACUACAGCUAUGGAUUUGACUUGACAGCACACCUAACAAAUAUUAAAAUAUAAAGCCUCAAUAAUUUAACCAUGUGAUACUGGAUCAUGAACAAAUAAUUGGACCAAAAAACAAAAACAAACAGACAACCAGAAGCAGCACAGAAAAUCCUGAAAUAAACCCAAUAAAUACUAUACAGGCCUUUAAUAUAUGAUUAAAGGAGGAUCUCAAUGAAAAUGGAAAAGAACUGUACUUGGUGUUGAGACAAUUAGAUAUCUAUUUGGAAAAGUUAAAUUUGGGUUUAUACCACACCCACAUCAGGGUAAAUUUCAUUUGGAUAUAAGAUUUAAAUAUAAAGAAACAAUUCCCCUUCCCUAAUACACAUACCAAAAAUACACUAAAAGAAAACAUGAGAGAAUUUCUUUUAAAACUUGGAAUGAGAAACACCUACCUAACUGUGACCUCAAAUCUAGAAGUCAUAAAAAAGUUAAAUGACAUAGAGAAGUUUAAAUCACAUAGAGUACGGUUAAUGAAAAAUAUUUUAAGCAAAGUCAAAUGACAACAGACUUCCAGUUAUUAUUUCAAAAGACUAUCACUGUCACUGUAAAAAUGGAAACAGGCAGAUGUGGUGGCUGACAUCAGUAAUCCCAGCACUUUUGGGAGGCUGAGACAGGAGGAUCCCUUGAGCCCAGGAGUUCAAGGCCUGCCUGGGUAACAUAGGGAGACCACAUCUCUACAAAAAAAUUAAAAAUUAGCCAUGUGUCGCAGCGCAUCCGUGUGGUGGCACAUGCUUGUGGUUCUGGCUACUUGGAAGGCUGACAUGGGAGGAUGGCUUGAGCCUGGGAGGUCAAAGCUGCAGUGAGCCGUGAUCAUACCACUGCACUCCAACCUGGGCAACAGCGAAGACUCUGUUUCAAAAAAAGAGAGAGAGAGAACAAGUUGGAAACCUACGAAACCUUUAGUGGAGAAGCAGGUACAAAAGAAAUCCAUUCAUCAUAGAUAGAGAUAAAAAGAAACUACCUGAACUUUUGAUGGCUGCAUGAGAACCGGCAUGAUAGAUUAGAAUUCUGAGUACACCCAUUCAUAGAGCAAUAGAGCAAGUCUCCGCUCACCUGCUGACUGUCUCCCACAGUCUGCACUGAACACAUGGCAGUGGUAUGCUAAAGGCUGGUGUCAGGGCAGAUAACUCUGAGAAAUACCUUUAAAGCAGCGGCCCCCAACAUUUUUGGCACCAGGGACCGGUUUCACGGAAGACAAUUUUUUCACGGACCUGUGGGUGGUGGAGUGGUUUUGGGAUGAAUCUUUUCCACCUCAGAUCAUCAGGCAUUAGUUCGAUUUUCAUAAGGAGCACAUAACCUAGAUCCCUCGCAUGUGCAGUUCACAAUAGGCCUCACACUCCUACGAGAAUCUAACGCCACCGCCGAUCUGACAGGAGGUGGAGCUCAGGCGGUAAUACUCUCUCGCCUGCCACUCACCUCCUGCUGUGUGGCCUGGUUCCUAACAGGCCAUGGACUGGGACUAGUCCAUGGCCUGGGGGUUGGAGACCCCUACUUUAAAGGACUCCAGGCCUUCAUCAUGAAAACUUUAGCUACUCUCCUAAGUCUAAAGGUAGGGUAGAAGUUCUGAGAGAGCUGAGAGAAAUCCCUAUGAAGCCUAUAGACAUUAAAAGAAUGGUAAUUGGGCUGAGCACAGUGGCUCACGCCUGUAAUCACAGCACUUUGGGAGGCCAAGGCAGGCAGAUCACUAGGUCAGGAGUUCGAGGCCAGCCUGGCCAACAUAGUGAAACCCUGUCUCUACUAAAAAUAAAAAAAAAAAAAGCCCGGCCUGGUGGCGGGUGCCUGUAAUCCUAGCUACUUGGGAGGCUGAGGCAGGAGAAUCACUUGAACCUGGGAGGUGGAGGUUGCAGUGAUCUGAGAUCAUGCCACUGCACUCCAGCCUGGACGACAGUGUGAGACUCUGUCUCAAAAAAAACAAAAACAAAAAAAAAAAAAAACGGUAAGUGGAUAUUAUGAAAAACUUUAUGCCACCAAAUUUGACAAUGUAAAUUAAAUGGACAAAUUCCUUGAAAAACACAACUUCGGCCAGGCGCGGUAGCUCACACCUGUAAUCCCAGCACUUUGGUAGGCCAAGGCAGGCAGAUCACAAGGUCAGGAGCUCGAGACCAGCCUGACCAACAUGGUGAAACCCCGUCUCUACUAAAAAUACAAAAAUUAGCCGGCUGUGGUGGUGUGCGCCUGUAAUCCCAGCUACUCAAGAGGCUGAGGCAGGAUAAUCGCUUGAACCCGGGAGGCAGAGGUUGCAGUGAGCCGAGAUUGCGCCACUGCACUCCAUCCUAGGCAACAGAGUGAGACUCUGUCUCAAAAAAAAAAAAAAAGAAAGAAAGAAAAACACAACUUCAUACAAAAUAGAAACAAGAAGAAAAAGAAAAUAUAAAAACCCUGUAUCUAUAAAAUACAUUAAAUUUUAAUAAAACAAAUAAAAACCUCUAGGUUCAUGUAGCUUCGCAGUAAAUGCUAUAAAGAUUCAAGAAAUAAAUAAUUAUAGACACAAACACUUUAAGAAAAUAGAGGAGGAAGAAACAAUUCCAGCCUCAUUUGAUGAGACCAGCAUAACUCUGAUACAAAAACCUGACAAGAUCAUUAAAAUAAAAAAAAUUACAGAUAAAUAUCCCUUAUGAACACAAAUGCAAAAACCCUGAACAAAAUAUUAGCAAGUUGAAUCAGCAAUAUAUAAAAAAUGGUAAUAUGAUCAAGAGUGAUUUUAUCUUUUGAAAAAUAAUAGAAACAUAAAUUGUUUCAUCCUGUGAAAAAUCAAUGUAAUUCACCACAUUAACAGAAUAAAGGAGAGAGGGAAAAAAAAGUGCACUCCUCUUAAUAUAUGCAAAAUAAAAUCGAAAAAUUCAAUGCAAAUUUAAGAUUUUUAAAAAUAGCUUAAAACUAGGAAUAGAAGCGAACUUCCUCAGUUUGAUAAAGAUCAUCUGCCAAAAGCACCUACAGAUAGCAUCAUAUUAAUGGUGAAACACUGAAUAAUUUCCCCCUACAACUGGGAAUAAGGCAAUAUGCCCACUUGUAUUUAACUCUGGACUGGAAAUCUUAACUAGUUCAAUAUGGCAAGGAAAAGAUUGGAAAGGAAGAAAUAUAAUUUUCAUUAUUUGCUGACAUGAUUAUGUACAUAGAAAAUCAUGAUGACAUGAUUGUGUACAUAGAAAAACUCUGCAGAAUCUACAAAAAAAAUGUAUAUUUUAAAAAAUCUACUAGAACUAAUAAGUGAACUUAGCGAGGUCACAGAUACAAAGUCAAUAUAUAAAAAGCAACUGAACUUCUAUAUAUUUGUAACAAACAAAGUGUAUUAGUCCGUUCUCACAUUGCUAUAAAAAGCUACCUGAGGCCGGGCCUGGUGGCUCAUGCCUGUAAUCCCAGCACUUUGGGCGGCCGAGGCGGGCGGAUCACGAGGUCAGGAGAUCGAGACCAUCUUGGCUAACAUGGUGAAACCCUGUCUCUACUAAAAAUACAAAAAAUUAGCCGGGCGUGGUGGCAUGCGCAUGUAGUCCCAGCUACUCGGGAGGCUGAGGCAGGAGAAUGGCGUGAACCCGAGAAGUGGAGCUUUCAGUGAGCCGAGAUGGCGCCACUGCACUCCAGCCUGGACGACAGAGCGAGAUUCCGUCUCAAAAAAAAGAAAAGGUACCUGAAACUGGGUAAUUUAUAAAGAAAAGAGAUUUAAUUGACUCACAGUUCUGCAGGAUACACAGGAAACAUGGCUGGGAAGGCCUCAAGAAACUUAGAAUCAUGGCAGAGGGCAAAGGGCAAGCAGACAUGUGUUAUACGGCCAGAGAAGGCAGAGAAUAGCAAAAGGAGAGGUGCUACACACUUUUAAAUAACCAGAUCUCAUGAGAAUUCACUCACUAUCAUGAGAACAGCAUGGGGGAAAUAGACCCCCACGAUCCAAUCACCUCCCGCCCAACCCAUCCUCCAACACUGAGGAUUACAAUUCAACAUGAGAUUUGGACAUAGAUACAAAUCCAAAUCAUAUUAAAAAGUGAAAUUUAAAAAUAGCGUAAUAUUAGCAACAGACACCAAACAGGUAGGAAUAAAUCUAAGAUGUACAAAACUUUUAUACUGAAAACAACAAAACAUUCUUGGGAUAAAUUAAGUAAGUCCUAAUAAAUAGAGAUAUAUCAUCAAUAUUGUUAAGAUGUCCAUUUUCCCAAUUUAAUUCAACAUAAGCCCAAGCAAAAUCCCAGGAGUCAUUUUUGUGUAAGUUGACAAGGUGAUUCUAAAAUGCAUAGGGAAAUAUAAAGAACCUAGAGUAGACAAAAUGAUCUUGAAAAAGAACAAAGUUGGAAGACACAUGAUUCAACUCUAAAACAUAUUAUAAUGCUACAAUCAUCAAGAUAAUGUAUUGAUUUAGGCAUAGACAUAAAGAUAAAUAAAAUGAAUGGAGAUCCCAGAAACAGACCCAUACUUACCUGGUCAAUUGAUUUUGAACAAAGAGUCCAAGGUAAUUCAACGAAGAAAGAAUAAUCUUUGUACAAUUGUAUAUCUGUAUAAAAAAAAAUGAACCUCAACCCUUGCAUGAGACUGUCCACAGAAAGUAAAUGAAAUGGAUUAUAGAUAUUAGCUUAAAAGCUGAAGCUAUAAAACUUUUAGAAGAAAACAUGAGAGAAAUAUCUUCAUCACCCUAGUAUAGGCAAAGAUUUCUCAGACUAGAUAUGAUAAAAACUAACCAAAAAAAAGAUACUGAUAAUUUGCACUUUAUCAAAAUUAAAAACAUCUGUUCUUUGAAAAACACUGUAAGAAAAUAAAAAUAAAACAAUAUUUAAUAAAAGACUUGUAUCUAGAACAUAUUAAGAACUCCUACAACUCAAUAGUAAGAAAAUACACGAUUUACAAAUGGACAAAAGAUUGAACAAACACUUCACAAAUGAAAAUCUAUGGCAAAAAAACAAAAGUGCAUGAAAUGAUUCUCAUCAUCAUUACUUAAGAGGAAAAUAUGAAUUUAAAUCCACAAUGAGUUAUCACUACACACCCCUAGAAUAGUUAAAAUUAAAAAGCUGGACAAUACCAAGUGUUGUGAGGAUGUGGAGCAAUUAGAACUCUCAUGUACCACCAAUGGGAGUGUAAAAGAGUACAACCAUCUUGAGGAACACUAGAGCAAUUUCUUAUACUCAUAUACCUACCCUAUAAUCCAGAAAUUCCUAGGUAUUUACUCAGGAAAAAUGAAAACACAUGCCUACAAGUUAUACACAAAUGCUCCUAGUCCCUAACUGAAGACAAUCCAACUGUCCAUUAACAAGUCUUUGGAUAAACAUAUAGUGGUAUAUUCAUGUAAUAGAAUACUAUUCAGCACUGAAAAUGAACUGUUAACACAUGAAUGAAUCCAACAAACAACAUGAAUGAAUCUCAAAAACAUUAUGCUUGAAUGAAAGAAGCAGGGUACAAAACAGUAUAUACUAUAAUGAUUCUAAAAUAUGUGAAGUCCAGAAACAAACAAAAACUAAUGGUGGCAAAUUAGAAAAUGCUUGCCCAGUUGAGAGGCAUUGGGUAACUGACUAGAAAGGGCACUUUCUGGGGUUAUACAAAUGUUCCAAAUUUUGGUUUAGGUGGUUUUUGCACAAGUGAAUACCCCUGCCAAAAUUGUAAAAACUGAAUACUUUAGACAUGUGCAUUUUAUUAUGUGAAAAUUAUGCCUUGAUUUUUUAAAGUUAUGAUUAGAUUUAUCUCUAUAUAUUUGUGCCCAGCAAUAAUAAUAUCAUUUUCAAGAGGUGCUGAUCGAUUCCUUUGCAUUGUGAUAAUUGUCUUAUUAUAACUAUCUGUAAUUAUAUGAAGCCUUCAUAAAUGUGACCACGUGCAAUAAUAAAGUUGUAAAACACUUAAAAUAGUAACUGGCAGACUGGGGAAUAUAUUUGCAACUCAGCUCUCAAAGGGCUAAUGACCCUCAUAUAUAAGAGAUCUUAAAAAUAUAUAUUUAAAAUACCAUAAAUUCAACAUCCCUUCAUAAUAAAAACUCUCAACAAAUUAGGAAGAAAGCAGUAUGGCAGUUCCUCAAAAAAUUAAAAAUAACAGCAGGGCACAGUGGCAUGGGCCUGUAAUUCUAGCUACUCAGCCGGCUGAGGCAGGAGGACAGCUUGAGCCUAGGACAGCUAGUGCCUGUGAAUAGCCACUGCACUCCAGCCUGGGUGACAGAGUAGGACUAUAUCUCUAAGAAAAAAAAAAAUUAAAAAUAGAACUACCAUAUGAUCCAGCAAUCCCACUACAGGGUAUACAUCCAAAAGAAAUGUAAUCAGUAUAUUGAACAGGUAUCUGAACUCCUUUGUUCAUUGCAGCACUAUUCACACUAGCUGAUAUAUGGAAUCUACUUAAAUGUCCAUCAACAGAAGCAUAGAUAAAGAAACUAUGGUACGUUUAUAUACAUAUUAUAGUUUACACACACACACACACACAAUGGAAUACUAUUCAGCUAUAAUAACAAAAUGAAAUCCUGUCAUUUGUGGCAACAUGGAUGAACCUGGAAAACAUUUUUAAACUAAAUAAGCUAGGCAUAGAAAAAUAAGUCCCACAAGGUCUCACUUAUACGUGGAGUCUAAAAAGUUGUUCUUAUAGAAGUGGAAAGCAGAAUAGUGGUUAGCAGAGGAUGGGGGGAUGGGGAGAAGCCGGGGAAGGUGAGAGAUUGGUCAGUGGGUACAAAGCUAUAGCUACAUAGGAGGAAUAAGUUCUGGUGGUCUGUUGCAUAGAAAGAUCACUAGAGUUAACAACAUUGUAUUGUGCAUUUCAAAAUAGCUAGAAAAGAGGUUUUUGAAUGUUCUUAUCACAAAGAAAUAAUACAUGUUUAAGACAACAGAUGUUAAACUGUCAUCAUUACACAAUUAUACAUGUAUCAAAACAUCACAUUGUACCCCAUAAAUAUGUACAAUUAUUAUGUGUCAAUCAUAAAUUAAAAAAUAAAAAUGAAAGUCAUAGGACUGUUAAAAGAAAACAUAAAUUACCAAAGUAAAGACUGCUUUACUCUGGGAGUGGAGUGCUUUCAUCACAAGUGGAUUUCACUCUUAGGUGUAGCCACUUUUUCCUAUUUCUGGUUUUAUUUUCACAUUUAAUGGUGGUGUGAAAAAAGGGAACAAAGAAAGAAGGGAGAGAGGAGGAAAAAAGAGAGAUGCACACCUAUGCUCAAAGAAAGUACUGGACAGAACUAUACAAACAUAUUAAUAACAGGGUGGAAUUAUGGGCCUUUUUUUCUCCUAAUGGAUUAUCUGUAUUUUUUUUUACAAUGGACACGUAACUUCUGCUCAUUUAUAGGAAAUGCUAUCAUGCAAAUGAGAACUAUUUCUGGCGAAACUAUUAUAUCUAGAAGUACUUUAAAUAAUUUUCAUGAAGUUCAAUUUAUGAGUCAAAAUUUUAUUCCUUCAACAGGCAAUGCUUUUAUUAUUCUUUUAUACCCACCCACAGAACAUGGGUGGGGAUAAAUGAAUUAAGAAAGCUUCAUGAACUUUUUACAUAUAAAUGCUGCAUCAUUUUAUAUUCUAGUAGCUGAUAAUAUUUUUUAAAGCUCAUUUAAAUCUACCUAACUUAUAUUUGGAGUUUUCUUCCACAGUUUUCAUCAGACAUUGUGCCCAUAUUGGUUCCUUAAAAUAGAUGUAGAAGCUGGGGAGGUGGUGCAUGCCUGUAAUCCCAGUUACUUCAGUGGCUAAGGCAGGAGGAUUGCUUGAGCCCAGGAGUUCAAGUUCAGCCUGGACAACAUAGCAAGGCUCUGCCUCUAAAAAAUAAAAAAUAAAAAAAAAACAAAAAGUAAACAGACGUAGUAAAGAAAUCCACUGGCAAUUUCUAUGUCCUUCUCAAAAAGCCUUUGUAUUAUAAAAUCUUCAAAUGUGCAUAGAAAUAGAAGAUUGUCUAUUUAACUCUGUAUAACCAUCAUGUAGACUUACAUUUUGUCAUAUUUGCUUAGUCUUUAAAAAAAAUACAGAUUAUAACAUUUCAUCCCUAAAUACUUUAGCAAGCAUUUCUAAAAUAUAAGGAUAUCUUAUAGCCACAAAAUCAUUUUUACACCUAACAAAAUUAACAACAAUUUCUUAAUAUCACCUAAUUCUUAGACCAUAUUCAAAUUUCCCCCAUUUCUGCCCAAAAUGUAUUUUAUAGUUAUUUGUUUGAACUAGGAUCCAUAUAAAGUCCGACUGACCAUUUCAUUUCUAAAAUCUAGUCUUUUUAAAAUCUAGAAUAGUUUCCAUCAUCACCACUACUUUUUUCUUUCUUCUUCUUCUUUUGCUUUUUAAUGUUAUUGACUUGUACUUGGUUAACUGUUUCAUAAAGUGUUUCCUGGAAAUUUAAAGAAUGAUUUGACAACACCGCCAGAGAACUCACUGUAAAAAUAAUCAUCUCAAAAAAGAAAAUCAGACUCAUUUUUUAAUAUCAAAAUCUUGCAAAUCUCCAUCUUGAACAUCAAUACUAUAGUGUGGAGGGGCGGGGCAAGUAGGAAUAUUAGAAAAAUUCCAUAAAACUAGCAUAUUUUAAGAGCUAGGUACAGUGGCUCAUGCCUGUAAUCCCACCUCCUCUGGAGGCUGAGGCAAGAGAAUCACUUGAACCCAGGAAUUUGAGUCUGCAGCGAGCUAUGAUUAUACCACUGCACUCCAGCCUGGGUGACAGAGGG